GAUGAAGAACGCAGCGAAAUGCGAUAAGUAAUGCGAAUUGCAGAAUUUCCGUGAGUCAUCGAACCUUUGAACGCACAUUGCGCCCGCCAGCAUUCUGGCGGGCAUGCCUGUUCGAGCGUCAUUUCAACCCUCGACCUCCCUUUGGGGAAGUCGGCGUUGGGGACCGGCAGCACACCGCCGGCCCUGAAAUGGAGUGGCGGCCCGUCCGCGGCGACCUCUGCGUAGUAAACCAACUCGCACCGGAACCCCGACGUGGCCACGCCGUAAAACACCCAACUUCUGAACGUUGACCUCGAAUCAGGUAGGACUACCCGCUGAACUUAAGCAUAUCAAUAAGCGGAGGA
RNAcentral lists this unclassified non-coding RNA (344 nucleotides) under soil metagenome. Its description in RNAcentral is "partial contains 5.8S ribosomal RNA, internal transcribed spacer 2, and large subunit ribosomal RNA". The stretch from base 1 to 121 matches the Rfam family "5.8S ribosomal RNA", at positions 35 to 154 of the family's 154-position model. The record is from RNAcentral.